This 393-nucleotide ribosomal RNA is filed under the name uncultured bacterium. RNAcentral's name for it is "partial 16S ribosomal RNA". It matches the Rfam family "Bacterial small subunit ribosomal RNA", at positions 523 to 918 of the family's 1533-position model. The record is from RNAcentral.
AUACGGAGGAUGCAAGCGUUAUCCGGAUUCAUUGGGUUUAAAGGGUGCGCAGGCGGCCGUGCAAGUCAGCGGUGAAAGCCCGGGGCUCAACCCCGGAAGUGCCGUUGAUACUGCGUGGCUGGAAUGCGGUCGAGGCGGGCGGGACGGGGCGGGUAGCGGGGGAAUGCGUAGAUAUGCCACAGAACGCCGAUAGCGGAGGCAGCUCGCCGGGCCUGCAGUGACGCUCGGGCGCGAAGGCGUGGGGAUCGAACAGGAUUAGAUCCCCUGGUAGUCCACGCCGUAAACGAUGGGCGCUCGUCGUCGGCGACAGACAGUCGGCGGCCAAGCGAAAGCGAUAAGCGCCCCACCUGGGGAGUACGGUCGCAAGGCUGAAACUCAAAUGAAUUGACGGGG